This 583-nucleotide long non-coding RNA is filed under the name Fukomys damarensis (Damara mole-rat). Its description in RNAcentral is "lncRNA (ENSFDAG00000027832.1)". Lineage: Eukaryota; Metazoa; Chordata; Mammalia; Rodentia; Bathyergidae. The record is from RNAcentral.
AGAACACAGAGAGAUGAGGCCUAUCUAUUUGCAUUUCGUCUAAUGUGAGCAGAUGCAGAUGGGAAAACAGCGGAGCCUGGGCUGUUCACCUGCGCCACCAGGCCUAACGUCACGGCUCAUGUCAAUGGCACCCUUGUCAGUUCCACUCCAGUGCUGCAGCAGCCAUAGUACUGGUUACAGGAGGGGCACAUGAGCCUCAGUGGUUUUACAGGGCUUGUUGGAAAGACAGGUCUAACCAUGGGACCCAUUUGAGGACAACACAAGCAUUGGGAGGCGUGGAGAGACAGAAGAAGCUCUGGAGGAGGUGGGAGAGGAGACAGCCCCGCCUGUGUGGGCAGAAAGGCUUCGUAAGGGAAGAGGACCACUCUGGCCCCAUGAAGACUGACCCAGGGGCUGGAGAGGCAGAGAUGGAAGACAAUCCAGAGAUUUUACAGAUCCAGCUUGAAGAUGGAUAUCCUUCAGGAGGAAGAGUUUAUAUUCAAGCAUGCAACAACAACAAAGCAGGAGGAACAGAGCAAUUGAUGUAAGCCUGCCUGUCAAGUCUGCAUGUUAAAAAAACAGAAGAACAAGAAAUAAAAAUUUG